GCCCAAAAUUAAGCCCAACCAACACCACAAACACUACAUUAACAAAACAAAACAAACCAUUUGCCACGACUAGUAAAGGCGAUUGAACAUCAACUGCACGGAGCCAUAGACAAAGUACCGCAAGGGAAACAUGAAAAACAGUGAAACACACAAGCCCAAAAAAGCAAAGACUCACACUUGUACCUAUUGCAUCAUGGUCUAGCAAGAAUUUAACAGACACGGAGACCCAGCCUGUUCCCCCGAAAUCAAGUGAGCUACCUUAAAGCAAUCAAUAGGAUCAACCCGUCUCUGUAGCAAAAGAGUGGGAAGACUAUAAGGUAGCGGUGAAAAGCCUACCGAACUUGUUGAUAGCUGGUUGCCUGAUAAAUGAACCCAAGUUCAACCUUAAAUUUUUUAUACCGCAACAAUGGUUUUGCCUUAAUUUAAGAUAUAAUCAAUGGGGGUACAGCCCCAUUGAACCGGGAUACAACCCAAAGCAAAGAGACAGAACAAUUUAUUUACCAGUAGGCCUUAAAGCAGYCACCAAUAAAAACAGCGUCAUAGCACUAUCCUACAAAAAUUCCAAAAACAAAAACAAACUCAUGCUAACAAAUCAGCGCUACUCUAUAAAAAUAUAGAAGAACCUAUGCUAGAACUAGUAACAAGAACCAAUCUCUACUGCACACCUGUAAAUCAGCAAUAGAAAACCUACUGAAAAUUAACAGAAAAAUACAACAUAAACAACAAGUAUUACGAAGCCUGUUACACCGACACAGGAGUGCUAAAAAGAAAGAUUUAUAGUCAAAGAAGGAACUCGGCAACUAUUAAUCCCAACUGUUUACCAAAAACAUAACCUUUAGCCCCCCCCAAGUAUUAAAGGCAACGCCUGCCCAGUGAACCAUUAAACGGCCGCGGUAUCCUAACCGUGCAAAGGUAGCGUAAUCACUUGUCCCCUAAAUAGGGACCUGUAUGAACGGCUAAAUGAGGACUAAUCUGUCUCCUUUGACAAAUCAGUGAAACUGAUCUGCCAGUACAAAAGCUGGCAUAACCACAUAAGACGAGAAGACCCUGUGGAGCUUUAAACUCACAGCCAAAACAUAUGAAUCAACAUAACACUAGUGGCCAAAAGUUUUAAGUUGGGGCGACUUCGGAACAAAAAGAAACUUCCGAGCCUAAAGAAUAUUAAUCUAACCAAGACCAACAAGUCAAAGCAAAUCUUGACCCAGUAAAACUGAUCACCGAACCAAGUUACCCCAGGGAUAACAGCGCAAUCUUCUUCAAGAGUCCAUAUCGACAAGAAGGUUUACGACCUCGAUGUUGGAUCAGGACACCCAAAUGGUGCAGCCGCUAUUAAAGGUUCGUUUGUUCAACGAUUAACAGUCCUACGUGAUCUGAGUUCAGACCGGAGAAAUCCAGGUCGGUUUCUAUCUAUGCUGUUGUUUUCUUCAGUACGAAAGGACCAAGAAAACAGGACCCAUACUAAAAGUAUGUCCUAAACAAUAAGCUAAAGACAACUAAAGCUUACACAACAAAACCAGCCCGGAGACAACGGACUUA
Molecule: ribosomal RNA, 1536 nt
Filed under: Urosaurus nigricauda
Lineage: Eukaryota; Metazoa; Chordata; Lepidosauria; Squamata; Phrynosomatidae
Description: 16S ribosomal RNA
Rfam family: Bacterial large subunit ribosomal RNA
Source: RNAcentral